ACAAAGGAAAGCUUUUGACUAUACAAUCUCUAAGUUUUUUUGGAGUGAUGGUCAAAUGCAAGAAAAAGUAAGGGAAAGGAAGGACAUUUAUUAGGAAGAACCUGUCUGUAGAACAAAAAUCCUCGUUUAAAAUGAUUUAGGUAGCUUUGUCUUUGUUAUCUAUCAGUAAGGCAAAAUGUGUUCAUUCGUCCACUCAUUUACUCGGUCUCAGUCACCUGUGAGCGCCUGGUGUGGCAUGCCGAGUGAGGGGCAUCAGCUGACUGGGCGCGGUGCCCUGCACGGAGCCUUCGCGCAGACCCUGCGGCCCGGCCCGCACUCUGCUCCGCACCUAGAAACCACAGCGCUGUCUCUUCCCAGAGACAUUUCGGGCCAGCCAUUUCAGGUAUCGUAACUCAAAUCUUCACGGCAGCUCUACAAAGGAGGAUUUGCAGACGAGGAAACUGAGGCUCUGAAAGGUGAAGGACCUUGCCUGAUUUCAUUGGAAGGUGGGGUCUAGACAUGAUCCUGGGAGAGGGGUGUUCGGUCACUGCCCUGGCCCCUCGGUGUUCUGGCGAGGGUGGUGGCUUCCAGCCCGCGCAGCCAGGCCGGUGCUCAGGGCUUUACCCGCGUAGUGGACACUCAGUGGUCGCGGUCAUUUCCCCUUCGGGGCUGGAACGCCCGUCACUUGCUUCCCCAGGCCUCCUGGUAGCAAGGACACAUGGUCUGAUCUUCCUCCCUCAGUCAGACCCGGACCCGGGAGUCAGCGAUGCGGAGGGAAAGGACGGGAGCGUCCGGUGGCAGCGGGGAAACGCAUCGGAUCGGCCUUCCGGAGAGCCUGCUGGGGACACCCGGUGGCGGUGACUCCUCUCUCUGCUCUGCCCAGGCAGCUCCGGUCGCUGAAAGGGCACAGAGAGGACACUGGAGCUGGGCUCGCAUUCUGCCCUGGCCCGGCCUGCACAGAGGUCCCUGCGUCCUCCUGCCCAGCCUGCCCCACCUCCUCGCGUCUCAGGGACCUAGAAGGGACCUUGCUGGAGGCAGAAAUGGCAGCUGAAAAGGCAAGGGAGGGGCCGUGGCGGCUCUGGUGCUGCGACCGGAGCCCUCGUGGUAGCUGAGCUCCCAGGGGACUUGGCAGUGGAGCGGCUGUGGCGUCUGCAAACCAGUGCAGGGCAUGGGGGUCUCUUCCUCAGAAGGACGUGGGAUGAAUCGUCAGUGGCAUCCCCUUAACCCCGGGGAAGGGGCGACAGGCAUUGACUGUAUCAGAGCAAUGCUGGUUCUGCAAUGAAUAAACACCAUCAUCUCAGUGGCUUAACACGAUCAGCUGAAUAGCUGAAA
Nycticebus coucang (slow loris) is the source of this 1311-nucleotide long non-coding RNA. RefSeq lists it as uncharacterized. The record is from RefSeq and is a predicted model, not a curated record. The transcript is spliced from 3 exons. NCBI's taxonomy places the organism in Eukaryota, Metazoa, Chordata, Mammalia, Primates, Lorisidae.